UCCUGGCUACAGAACGACGCUGGCGGCAUGCCUAACACAUGCAAGUCGAACGAGACCUUCGGGUCUAGUGGCGCACGGGUGCGUAACGCGUGGGAACCUGCCUUAGGUUCGGAAUAACUCAGAGAAAUUUGAGCUAAUACCGGAUAAUGUCUUCGGACCAAAGAUUUAUCGCCUUUAGAUGGGCCCGCGUUGGAUUAGCUAGUUGGUGGGGUAAAGGCCUACCAAGGCGACGAUCCAUAGCUGGUCUGAGAGGAUGAUCAGCCACACUGGGACUGAGACACGGCCCAGACUCCUACGGGAGGCAGCAGUGGGGAAUAUUGGACAAUGGGCGAAAGCCUGAUCCAGCAAUGCCGCGUGAGUGAUGAAGGCCUUAGGGUUGUAAAGCUCUUUUACCCGAGAUGAUAAUGACAGUAUCGGGAGAAUAAGCUCCGGCUAACUCCGUG
RNAcentral lists this ribosomal RNA (443 nucleotides) under uncultured bacterium. Its description in RNAcentral is "bacterial SSU rRNA". It matches the Rfam family "Bacterial small subunit ribosomal RNA", at positions 17 to 507 of the family's 1533-position model. The record is from RNAcentral.